CGCAGGGCCGGAGCCUGCGCCUGCGCCUGCGCCGGGUUUGUCCGGUACGGCUGUGCCGCUCGGUGUGCACCGCUCCUCGGGACAGCGUGUGCCGGGGCCCUCCUCGGGAAAUAUUUCUUCCUUCUAUGGAAACCAACGAGCACCCGGGCCUGCACUCUUGAUAUAAAUACCCGGUGAUGACCGACUUAUUGCGGGCGACCGGGCGACGAAUCCACCGUUGGGACAGCACUGCCGGUGUCAGGCCGUUCUUCCUAGAAAGAAAGAAAGAAAAAAAAUCUAAAAUCUUUAAGAUAUGUGUGGGAUCUGUUGAGUCACAGCCUGAACCACGGAUUGAUCACCUGUGGAAAGGACCCAGUCAGCCCUGAGAGCACAGGUGAAAGCAAUUCAUGUGUGCGAAUGGAAGGAGGGGAGCCUGGCUGCAGCUCUCUUAGAUCUCAUUUAAGGGCUGACUGCUGCUGGGGAGGAUCUUUGCCUGGUGGAUUUGCCACAAGGUUUCUUACAAUGACUAACAGUAGAAGGAAAUGUGCUCUGAAGGGGUGUGCUUGCAAGUCGGCUCAAGAGAAAUGAAAAUCGUUGUAGCGGGGACCCUGCCUGGGAGCAGAGCAUUACCAAAUACGUUACUAUGCAAAGAAUCUCAUGUUGAAUAAUUUAGAAAUACCUUUUUGUUAGUGGUCAAGUAAAACAUGGCAACAGAGGGUAAUCUCAGGAAAAAGAGGGGAUAAAAACAUCUCUAUCAAGCCCAGACUUGAUGGGAAAGGAAGAGCUGAACAAGUGUGCGUGUCUGGGGGUGUUCAUCUUCUAGACUGCACCCAGAGAAGGAGAAUGAUUGUGAUGCUGCAGUCUCGGAACUCCAGUCAGUACACAAAUGGAAGGAUUUCUGGGCUGAGAUGAAUUUAUCUCCGCAGCUUCUAAUCUUUUGGAUUUUGUGUUCUAGUGCAGAGAAGCUUUUGGGCAUGAUUUAUCAUCACUAUAGCUAACACUGUAUGGGAAAAAAACUGACUUUAGAUCUUACAUCAAAGCUUUUAACAAAGCUUGUUUCCCUGGAUUUUACUUGCUUUCCAUUGUCUCC
This 1069-nucleotide long non-coding RNA is filed under the name Gallus gallus (chicken). RNAcentral describes it as "lncRNA (ENSGALG00010017875.1)". The record is from RNAcentral. Lineage: Eukaryota; Metazoa; Chordata; Aves; Galliformes; Phasianidae.